This 397-nucleotide ribosomal RNA is filed under the name uncultured bacterium. Its description in RNAcentral is "partial 16S ribosomal RNA". It matches the Rfam family "Bacterial small subunit ribosomal RNA", at positions 523 to 918 of the family's 1533-position model. The record is from RNAcentral.
AUACGUAGGGGGCGAGCGUUGUCCGGAAUGAUUGGGCGUAAAGGGCGCGUAGGCGGCCCGGUAAGUCUGGAGUGAAAGUCCUGUUUUUAAGAUGGGAAUUGCUUUGGAUACUGUCGGGCUUGAGUGCAGGCGAGGUAAGUGGAAUUCCCAGUGUAGCGGUGAAAUGCGUAGAGAUUGGGAGGAACACCAGUGGCGAAGGCGACUUACUGGACUGUAACUGACGCUGAGGCGCGAAAGUGUGGGGAGCAAACAGGAUUAGAUACCCUGGUAGUCCACACUGUAAACGAUGAAUGCUAGGUGUAGGGGGUAUCGACCCCUUCUGUGCCGCAGUCAACACAAUAAGCAUUCCGCCUGGGGAGUACGGCCGCAAGGUUGAAACUCAAAGGAAUUGACGGGG